Molecule: long non-coding RNA, 689 nt
Organism: Heterocephalus glaber (naked mole-rat)
Lineage: Eukaryota; Metazoa; Chordata; Mammalia; Rodentia; Bathyergidae
Source: RefSeq, a predicted model, not a curated record
CAUGAUGGCGAUGGCGAAGGCCACGUGAUCAUCAGCUCGCGUGUUGGCCAAGGCAAACACCCUGACCACCGUGUUGAACUCCAGGGCCUCGGUGAACCGGACCAGGAUCUCAUUUGUGAUACAGUCUGAGUUGUUGACGUUCACUUCGGUCAUCUCCGGGUCGUUGUUCUUCACCUUCUCCAGAGCACCCUCCAGUUACAGACCACGAUUUCGCAGGGGCCCUCCUUGCCAAAGACAGCCUAGAGAGGAUGGCAAUGAAGAGGAUAAGGAGAAUCAAGUAGAUGAGAUCCAAGGUCAGCAGCCACCUCAACGUCAGUACCGCCAAAACUUCAAUUACCGACGCAGACGCCCAGAGAACCCUAAACCACAAGAUGGCAAAGAGUCAAAAGCAGCCGAUCCACCAGCUGAGAAUAGGUCUGCUCCCGAGGCUGAGCAGGGCGGGCUGAGUAAAUGCCGGCUUAACAUUUCUACCAUCAUCCGGUUUAGUCAUCCAGCAAGAAGAAACAAAUAUGAAAUUCCAGCAAUAAGAAAUGAACAAAAGAUUGGGAACUGAAGACCUUAAGUGCUUGCUUUUUGCCCAUUGACCAGAUAACUAGAACUAUCUGCAUUAUCUAUGCAGCAUGGGGUUUUUAUUAUUUUUACCUAAAGAUGUCUCUUUUUGGUAAUGACAAACGUGUUUUUUAAAAAAA